This is a transfer RNA of Camelus ferus (Wild Bactrian camel), 72 nucleotides long. It matches the Rfam family "tRNA". From Rfam's summary of the family: Transfer RNA (tRNA) molecules are approximately 80 nucleotides in length. Lineage: Eukaryota; Metazoa; Chordata; Mammalia; Artiodactyla; Camelidae. The record is from Rfam.
GGGUAUAUAGCUUAGCGGUAGAGCGCAUGCUUAGCAUGCACAAGGUCCUAGGUUCAAUCCCCAGUACCUCCA